UAAUACAGAGACUGCAAGCGUUAUUCGGAUUCACUGGGCGUAAAGGGUGCGCAGGCGGCCAAGUGUGUCAGGUGUGAAAGCCCGAGGCUCAACCUCGGAAUUGCGCCUGAAACUGCAUGGCUAGAGCAUUGGAGAGGGUAGCGGAAUUCACGGUGUAGCAGUGAAAUGCGUAGAUAUCGUGAGGAACACCAGAGGCGAAGGCGGCUACCUGGACAAUUGCUGACGCUCAGGCACGAAAGCGUGGGGAGCAAAAGGG
Molecule: ribosomal RNA, 256 nt
Filed under: uncultured archaeon
Lineage: Archaea
Description: partial 16S ribosomal RNA
Rfam family: Bacterial small subunit ribosomal RNA
Source: RNAcentral